Molecule: ribosomal RNA, 164 nt
Filed under: Hemarthria uncinata
Lineage: Eukaryota; Viridiplantae; Streptophyta; Magnoliopsida; Poales; Poaceae
Description: 5.8S ribosomal RNA
Rfam family: 5.8S ribosomal RNA
About the family: 5.8S ribosomal RNA (5.8S rRNA) is a component of the large subunit of the eukaryotic ribosome.
Source: RNAcentral
CACAUGACUCUCGGCAACGGAUAUCUCGGCUCUCGCAUCGAUGAAGAACGUAGCAAAAUGCGAUACCUGGUGUGAAUUGCAGAAUCCCGCGAACCAUCGAGUUUUUGAACGCAAGUUGCGCCCGAGGCCUUCUGGUUGAGGGCACGUCUGCCUGGGCGUCACGC